Molecule: ribosomal RNA, 468 nt
Filed under: uncultured bacterium
Lineage: Bacteria
Description: partial 16S ribosomal RNA
Rfam family: Bacterial small subunit ribosomal RNA
Source: RNAcentral
GACGAACGCUGGCGGCGUGCUUAACACAUGCAAGUCGAACGGAAAGGCCCUGCUUUUGUGGGGUGCUCGAGUGGCGAACGGGUGAGUAACACGUGAGUAACCUGCCCUUGACUUUGGGAUAACUUCAGGAAACUGGGGCUAAUACCGGAUAGGAGCUCCUGCUGCAUGGUGGGGGUUGGAAAGUUUCGGCGGUUGGGGAUGGACUCGCGGCUUAUCAGCUUGUUGGUGGGGUAGUGGCUUACCAAGGCUUUGACGGGUAGCCGGCCUGAGAGGGUGACCGGCCACAUUGGGACUGAGAUACGGCCCAGACUCCUACGGGAGGCAGCAGUGGGGAGUAUUGCACAGUGGGCGGAAGCCUGAUGCAGAGACGCCGCAUGCGGGAUGACGGCCUUCGGGUUGUAAACCGCUUUCGCCUGUGACGAAGCGUGAGUGACGGUAAUGGGUAAAGAAGCACCGGCUAACUACGUG